This is a long non-coding RNA of Onychostoma macrolepis, 526 nucleotides long. RefSeq lists it as uncharacterized. The record is from RefSeq and is a predicted model, not a curated record. Lineage: Eukaryota; Metazoa; Chordata; Actinopteri; Cypriniformes; Cyprinidae. The transcript has 2 exons.
AAAUAGGGGGAAGGCGUCAUAUUUUGGUCGUUAAUUUCUCUUGCCACAAUCUAUUAGUUUGGAAUUUCUAUAUCUGAUUAUAUGUAAUAAUGUCUUAUCUUUGGAUAAAGGCUGGUUUUGUGGAGAUACAAACGGUUUUGGCCGUCAUAACGAGUGUUUAAAACGUCGAUAGGGCCUCUUUUAGCGUCGAGCGUUCCGAUAUUUGGCGUCAGAUCUCACUGAGCCGCUAAAGCCUCCGCGAGCGUCGAGCGCGCCGCGAUGGUUAGUUAGUCGUGAGGCAGUAACGUUACCGGAUUGAUGCUGUGAAGUGACGACAUCAAACCAUUUAUUUAUUUUUUUUUUUAAAAUAAAACAUGUAUUAUUUUAUAAUUCCUCAUGGCUGUAUUUUGUUUAAGAGACUCGGGACCUCUGAAUAAAUACUAAAUAUUGCUUUGACUUGUUAGUGACCCUCACAAACUGCUUCUGUUGUAUAUUCAGUGUAUCAUUUUCAAAUAUAAAUUAUGUUAAUAAAACAUACAAAUUUUGA